This is an RNA transcript of Diospyros lotus (date-plum), 2407 nucleotides long. RefSeq lists it as uncharacterized. The transcript is spliced from 3 exons. Lineage: Eukaryota; Viridiplantae; Streptophyta; Magnoliopsida; Ericales; Ebenaceae. The record is from RefSeq and is a predicted model, not a curated record.
AAAAAAAAAAAAAACAGCAAGAUUUGUGAACCGGCUAUUCUUCUAUAUAAAAUAAGAGGUAGCACAGGAAACCGGUUCAAAGUGAACCGGCUAUUCUUCUUUUAUCUACCCCAAGUUUGGGCGGCGGCGGCGAUUGUUCCCAUGUUCGAUCAGAAAAUGCCGGUGAGAGUGGUUGAUAGUUCGGCGCCGUCGCAGGCGUCAGGUGCAAAUCUUGGCAACACUUCAGCCCUUGCUCGUACAUUUUUAAGUGUUGGACAGGUGGUUAUGAUUUCCGAUUGUACUGCACAUGGAUGCAUGGACUGUGAGGCUAUAAAUAAGCCAUAGCUAGAGAAUGGGAAUUCAUGUUGAGAAAUGAAUUGAAUAUACUCUGUUAUCUCUGUCUCACUUUUUGUUACCUUUCUAUCUGUCUCUCGAAUAUUCUCCCAUUUCUUGUUGUUUUUUUCCUUCCAUCCGAGUUCUCCCUCCUAAUUUUGCUCUCCCGUUCUCUUAACCUUCUCAAUUCCCUUUCUAACCCCUAGCCCAAGUGUAAUACCCUAUGUUUGUAUGAGGUUGUCAUAUAAUUUCGAUAAGUUUAGAAUACCGAAAAAUUGACUUGAUAGCAGUUAUCAGUACCAAAUCGACUGCAAGGAGUGCCCUGAAGCUGAGAUGCCAAAGGAAAAUGAUACGGGAUGAGUAUCUUGAUAUAGGAUUUAUGGUAUCGAAAGAAAUCGAAUCAGGAAUGGUUUUCGGUACAACUAAAAUGCAGUUGCCAUUAGGCUACAAAAUCGAAUUAUCGUUGGGACUCCCAAAAAAUCAACGAACCCUAUGGGGGCUCCGGUUUUGCAUAAGAAUCAACCCUUUAGUUGUUUCGGGAUUAAACGAUGGCCCGAUAAGAAUACUAGGGUGAAAUCGACAUUAUCGAGUAAUUUUGAAGUUAUUAAUUUUGCGUUUUCAGUAUCGAAAUGUCAAUUAAUUCAUUGUUUAAGGGUAUAAUUGUAAUUACGGAAUUGCCCAAAUAAAAUUGGAGUCUAAAGAUUUAAUUUUCUUAUAUAUAAUGUACUAUAUAAUGUUAUAUAUGUUUAUAUAUAUAUAUAUAUACAAUGCGUGUCUGUGCAAGAAAGAGAAAUAGCAUGCCAUGCCCUGCAAACCGAACGUGAAUUGGGGUGUUCUUCACGCAAUAGGGAAUGGCUAGGCAGCGAGGAAAGGCAGAAUAUUGCUUAUAAAUAGAGGGAGGGUCUCUGAGAGAAAUGAGGGAGAAGGAAGCAGGAGCAGCCAUAGCCGAGAAGCUCCAGUAAGCUCGGCAAGCAGGGUUAGUGUGGAGGAGGUCGGUGAUGGCCAAGGUGGAGACCAGAGAGGUUGGUGGCAAGCGGCGAGGCCGACUAAAGGCCAAGGCGAGCUGCAGCCACGAGCUGCUGCGCUUGUAGGCAGCCAUGGCCGACGCGAUGCAAGCUGGGCAACAGCGGGUGACGGGGAGGCUGGUGCGAUGGUGGUGGUGGGCUCCGUGGAGGUCUGAGAGGUGGCCGGUGGCAUUGGAGGUAGCCGACAAAGGCCAAGGCGACGGUCGCGAUGCUCUGUGUGUGCGCGGGUGCGUUGCAGUGAAGAAUAAUGAGAGAAGAAAAAGGAGGGAAGGAGAAGGAGGAGGAGGAGAAGAAGAAGGGAAGAAAAUGAAAGAAGAAAAGAAAAAAAAAAGAAAGAGAAAAAGAAAUAAAGAAGAAAUGGUGGCAUGGCUGUUCGUGCGCAUGGAGCAGGAAAGGAGGAGGUGGAAGAAGAAGGAAGGAAAAAAGAAAAGAAAAGAAAGAAAAAAUAGAAAAAAUCUUGAAAAAUAAGAAGUGGAUAUUUAUUAAUAUUUCAGAGAUUUUGGGCAAGAAAAUGGUUUGGGAACGCAUUUCAAGCAUAUGACACGUAAACCAAAGAAACCUGAGAAGCUAAGUUAAGAUAAGUAAAAUUCCCUAGAAAAUUUCAUAAAUUCAAGAAUAAUAGUUUAUGAAUUCUCAUAGUGAAAUAUUUAAGAAAAUAUUGAGAAAUAUUUAGUUUGGAUUUAUUAAGAAAAAUAAGAAAAAAAUAAAAAAAAUGUAAGAAAUUAUGGGGAAAUAGGUUUUAAUACUUAUUUAAAUAAAUAUAGUGAUUAUGAUAUUUUGAGGCUAAAGUUGAAGUGACUUGUGCGAAUUUUGAGGUUGACACGCAAAUUGAGGCGAUGCAAGAAUUUUGAGAUAGACGCAAAUAUCAAGGUAGCUCGAUAAGCUUGAGAAGGUAAGUGGUACUUUCCAAUUGGACUUAGUUUUAUGAAAAAUGCUUGGUUUGUAAGUGGUUCAACCCAAACCCAAUUUAAGUAAAUGAUUUUGUCAUGUUGUCAUAUCUUGUUAUGAAUAUGUCAUGUAGAUUGCAUUUACAUGCUAUGAAAUGCAUAUGUACACGUUGAUAUUAUUGA